GGCUGUGUAGCUCAGUGGUUAGAGCAUCCGGUUGUCAGCCGGAAGGUCGCGGGUUCGAGUCCCGUCACGGUCGC
RNAcentral lists this transfer RNA (74 nucleotides) under Microbacterium phage Pumpernickel. Its description in RNAcentral is "tRNA-Asp". It matches the Rfam family "tRNA". Rfam says of the family: Transfer RNA (tRNA) molecules are approximately 80 nucleotides in length. Their secondary structure includes four short double-helical elements and three loops (D, anti-codon, and T loops). Lineage: Duplodnaviria; Heunggongvirae; Uroviricota; Caudoviricetes. The record is from RNAcentral.